GGAAGAUUUGAUGCAGCCUUGCUGGCUUGAAAAUGGAGGGGUUCAUGUGUAAGGACGUGGGUGACCUCCCAGUUGAAGGCCAGCAAGGAAACCAGGACUACAGUCUCACAACCAAAAAGAAUCGGAUUCUGCCAACAACAGGAAUGAGUUUGGAAGUGGAUUUUCCCCCAGAGCCUCUAGAGGACUUUGCUCCCUGAGCAGUGAAGCCAGUCAUGCUGUGCAGAACUUCUGACCUACAGAACUCUGUGCUAACAAAUGAGUGUUGUUUUAGUCUGCUAAGUUUGUGGCAGUUUGUUACACAGUAAUCAAAAAUUAAUGCAGAGGGGGAAAAUGAAAUAGAAGGAGCUCAGAUAAGCUCCUCCCCACCACCACAAGCUGCAUUUAAGUGGAUCACACCAGCUCCAGGAGUAAAUCAGGGAAGACGACUCAUGUGCAUUUUCCCUCGUGCCUGGAUCUUCAUUGGAACAUGGAUUAAAAGACUCAAAAGGGAAACAUCUACCAAUUACAACACGUGAAGCUUCAUAUAAGUUUUUGGAUCCUGAUCCAAAAAACCGUCAGGAAAACAAAUUAUGAGAUGAUGUAACAAGUACCAGACGGACCGCUGAGACUUAAAACACUAAAAACCUUAAGGAAAAUCUAUGAACCGAUGGCUCUUACCCUGGGCAACAGGCAGCAUGAGAAAGUCAUCCCCGUGACAGGAGAGGCGAGUGAGGCGGCCCGCGACGGCCCCAGCUGACUGUCUGGAGAGUCUCUUGAGCUGCAGCGCUGGGUGGGGGACCCAUGCAGAGCCUGGUCGUGUCACAGCUGAGGAGGCCGCAUGGAGGCCCCGGAGGCCACAGCCGGACGCAGAGGAGCGACCGCCCGGGACCCGGAAGUGACCCGGAAGUGGGCGCUCACAGCCGCGGGGGUGGGGCAGAGGCCUUCUGGGCGGGUUCCGUGUGCUUCUUGUGGGGCGCGCGCUGCCCUGAGCUUUCUCAGUGUCCCUUCCCCACCUUGGCCUUCAUGGGCUGACUCUGCAUCCGCGCUCGUUGCUACUCUGUGUUAGGCUCGUGGUGGCUUCUCUGCUCUUCCAGUCCUGCCUCCCAGCCUCCUCAGGAGCCCCGACGGAGACCUUGGAAAAGAGCUCGCGUGUGAGUACGAACGCCCGCUCCUUGUGUCUGGGACUAACCUUGUUGCGCUUAGGCCACACUUAAGAAUUUAUUACCAUUUUAGCUGUUUCCUUCCAACCUGCUGUUUCGGGCAGCCAUGUCCUCCUCCAUCUCUGACAAAGGUGUGUCCCCUUUGGUCGGAGGCACUUGUCAGUCUUUGGAAUUGUGUUCACUUCAUUGGCUCGUAGCCUCACCUCCUCAGAUGGGCUCAAGAAAAGUUACGAUGUUUUAGAAUGUCAGGCUUUUUCUUGUUGUUAGAAUGGAAGCCACAUCCUCCUAAGCGAAGUGGAACUCGGCCUCAUUCAUUUUAACAAACAUUUACUGAGUGCCUUGCUUGUCAGGCUCUGCACAUGCAGACAGAUGAAACAUGGCCUUCUCUGUUCGCAGACCAUCUACUGGAUCAGACGAGGAGCUGUCACCGCAGGAUGUGGUCUUUGUCUUUGUUUAUGACAAUUAGGCACCCGAGGCUGUCUGGGACAGCCAAGAGCGCUUUCAUCUGGAAAGUAAAGCUCAUGUGAAUCUCUUGCAGAGAAAUAGAGGUUUCCAGGUGGGCAAAGGAGGUGAGGACAUCCUAGGCAGAGAAAACACCACACCUAUAGUCACAGUGGGAUGAAAGAGCAAAGCUGUCCUCAUGAGGGCCUGGUCCUGAACCCCAAGUUUGCUGCUGGAGCUCCCUGGCAGUCACCAGCCAUCUAGAUUUUAUACCAGACAACUCCCCACCACAAACACAAGCCUAUGCAAGUGGGCCUUUCAGGGAUCCUGUUGUCCUUGUCAUAGCUUUAUUAUACCCUCCCAUGAUGCAGGAUCCCUGAGUCUUUGUCAUCCACUCUCCUAGACCAUGAGCUCCUCAAAGGCGGUGAUGGUUUUAUACAUCUCUGCAUUCCCUGCACCCAGUUCAGUAGCUGGCUUGGUAGAAGCUCAGGAAGUGUUGGAUGAACUGAAAUCAAAUAGUGUUCCUGAAUGCCCCAUCAGGGUGUUUGGAUCACUCUCUGGCUGCUGUUCCUCAGAUGUGAAUGCACCCCUAAAAAGCAGGGUGUCUAGGAGGUCAACAUACAGAUUUCAUGGUCAUUUUGUUUGUUUUUAAUUGAAGUAGGUGGCAGAGGGUAGGGACCAUCUUAUUCCAGGCUCUCAUUACCUCCUGGAAUUUGCAAGUCUGGUCUUUGCUAAAUGUUAACUUUUAGUGAGCUGAAUUAUUCAUUCAUUCCCCUACCCCGGUGACAUUUUGAUUGCUGCAUUCACUGUUUAAAUUUUGAAUGAUCUCAGAUUCUAUUUGAGCCUGCCUCGGACGCAGUAAUAACUGCCACAGGAGAACAGAGAAUCUCUUGCUCUGCAACAAUGGUUUCAACUGUAAUUUUACAAAGCAAGUAACUUCCGCUUAAACCAAGGAAACAACGGAGGAAUCUGUUUUCAAAUGUGACAUUCUUUCCCAUGGGAAGUGCUUUCAAAUGUGUUUUGGUUCUGCCUUUUGCUUUUGCCUGCCUUCUUGUCUCUCACCAGGAGAACAAUGUCAUAUUUUGCUAGAACAUAACUAUCUUGGGUACAUGGGAUAAAAGGAUGACUUGAAAUAAAAAACACUAAAAUUUUCUAUUUAGUAGUUAAUUGUGGGAAAGUUAAGACUAUCAAAUGAAAAUAUAAAGAAUAGUUUAUUUACACAUGGUUUAGUACUUAGAUGUUUAAAAUAAGUAAAAAACACACUUAUAGUUACGUUUAUAGUUUUGGUUGCAGAGCUGAGGGAGAAAUGAAAUCUGGAGCAUUCAGGCAGGAAAACCUAGGAAUGGCUUCAGAUAAGUCACAGUGAAGCUGGUUCUUGAAGGGUGUGUGAGAGCUGACAGGGGAGGGCUGUCCAGCGGAAGAAACAGCGAGUGCUACGGUGCAGGAUUAGCUAGUUUCUCUAGUUUAAUCUAACCAAUUGUAACUAAAUACCUAUUUUCGUCAUAUCUCCUUUUUAGGUACUUUGAACUUUUCCCUUUGUUUUUAAAUGAAACUACUCCACCACCUCAAACAAGAACUCUUCCCAGAUGAUGGGUCUGUGUUACUGUCUCCUUCCCUGUUUGAACUCUCAGCCUCGUUUCUGUUUGACUCCCAUUCCUUUUGUGAUUUGACUUCACAUUCUUUCUCACCACCCUCCUGAAAACUUCUUUCCCCUCUUGCUGCCGUCUGGCUUCCUCUGGCCCCUCCCUGUCUGCUGGUGUGCAGUGAGCAUGCAGUUGGAAGGCUCCUUCUGAAGAUGGAUGGUGGCAGGGUCUGAAAAUGGAACAGACAGCAAAUAAGCUCACGAAUCUCUGUUUGUAUUUUCAUCAGUAAUACACGUUUACCAAGUUUUUGUUGAAUACCUACUAUUGAGACAGACAUAUGAACAAAAAUUCUCUAAUAUGUUGUCCAAUUAUGUGGGCUGAUAAGUUAUACUAAAACAUAUUAAAUAUUAGACUUAAAGUGCUCUGGAACCUCAGAGGACUUCCCUUUCAGGAGGUCAUGGAAAGCUUCACAAAAGUGAUGAUCAGGGCAGAUCCAGGUUUAGAGGGGUCUGAAGCUUUUGAAGGUUGUCAGAAUCAAAAUGGAGUCACUUGAGUUAAAAUCCUGACAAAUGGGGGCAGAGAAGGCCAUGAAGGGAGGGUUCUCACGCAUGUGUGCCUCAUAACAAGAACAGUUACAAAAGAUGGCAAAAACUGCAGCCUUGCACAAAAGCCAUAGUAACCUUACACAGAAAAUACUUCUGCAUGGACGUCUAUCCAGCAACUGCCUGUCUCAGCUUGGACUGAUGCCACCCUUGUUAUUGAACCUUGUAGGCAAGCAUACUUGAUUCAAAAUACUUGAUGUAUUUCUUCUCAUUUUGCCUUUAAAAACUUCCCCUUUGGUUGGGCGC
Long non-coding RNA from Cercocebus atys (sooty mangabey), 4011 nucleotides. RefSeq lists it as uncharacterized. The transcript has 3 exons. The record is from RefSeq and is a predicted model, not a curated record. NCBI's taxonomy places the organism in Eukaryota, Metazoa, Chordata, Mammalia, Primates, Cercopithecidae.